UAGGCGAACCUGGGACAGAUUUGAGGUGA
This 29-nucleotide non-coding RNA is filed under the name Rattus norvegicus (Norway rat). The record is from RNAcentral. Lineage: Eukaryota; Metazoa; Chordata; Mammalia; Rodentia; Muridae.